RNAcentral lists this ribosomal RNA (460 nucleotides) under uncultured bacterium. Its description in RNAcentral is "partial 16S ribosomal RNA". It matches the Rfam family "Bacterial small subunit ribosomal RNA", at positions 338 to 795 of the family's 1533-position model. The record is from RNAcentral.
CCUACGGGUGGCAGCAGUGAGGAAUAUUGGUCAAUGGACGAGAGUCUGAACCAGCCAAGUAGCGUGAAGGAUGACUGCCCUAUGGGUUGUAAACUUCUUUUAUAUGGGAAUAAAACGUUCCACGUGUGGGAUUUUGUAUGUACCAUAUGAAUAAGGAUCGGCUAACUCCGUGCCAGCAGCCGCGGUAAUACGGAGGAUCCGAGCGUUAUCCGGAUUUAUUGGGUUUAAAGGGAGCGUAGGUGGAUUGUUAAGUCAGUUGUGAAAGUUUGCGGCUCAACCGUAAAAUUGCAGUUGAAACUGGCAGUCUUGAGUACAGUAGAGGUGGGCGGAAUUCGUGGUGUAGCGGUGAAAUGCUUAGAGAUCACGAAGAACUCCGAUUGCGAAGGCAGUUCACUGGACUGCAACUGACACUGAGGCUCGAAAGUGUGGGUAUCAAACAGGAUUAGAUACCCUAGUAGUC